Molecule: small RNA, 28 nt
Filed under: Bombyx mori (domestic silkworm)
Lineage: Eukaryota; Metazoa; Arthropoda; Insecta; Lepidoptera; Bombycidae
Description: ovarian small RNA-29991
Source: RNAcentral
UCUGCGUUAGCCGGAAGGUGAGGCAUCC